RNAcentral lists this unclassified non-coding RNA (334 nucleotides) under Entoloma sp. Its description in RNAcentral is "partial internal transcribed spacer region". The stretch from base 1 to 46 matches the Rfam family "Eukaryotic small subunit ribosomal RNA", at positions 1786 to 1831 of the family's 1831-position model. The record is from RNAcentral. Lineage: Eukaryota; Fungi; Basidiomycota; Agaricomycetes; Agaricales; Entolomataceae.
AAGUCGUAACAAGGUUUCCGUAGGUGAACCUGCGGAAGGAUCAUUAUUGAAUUAAACUUGGUUUAGAUUGUUGCUGGCUCUGUCGAGUAUGUGCACGUCUAUUCCAUUUUUUAAAACCCCCUGUGCACUUUGUGUAGACCUGAACACUCUUCAAGAGGUAUAUAAUCUUGAGAUCUGAGGCUUGCCGUGUGUUGAAACACAGCUUUCCUUGCACGUUCUAGUGUCUAUGUCUCUACUAUUAUACCCUUCAUUAAAACAUAUUAGAAUGCUCCAUAUAGGCCUUUGUGCCUUUUAAAAUAAAAUACAACUUUCAACAACGGAUCUCUUGGCUCUC